GGUGCUCGCAGAAUUCCCACCUGCUUUAGUAACCUGUUUCUCAUCUUCAAUUCUGUCUUGCCCACAGCCACAUCUGCCUUGGUGAGAGAGCCGUCAUUUGCACCCAGUCACUGGCUUGGCUAGUCUUUCCUCUGCUGGCCAGAUCUGUAUUUGCAGGCCGAAGAAAAGACUGGCUGACCGCCUCUCCUUGGACCAAGCCUCUAACUUCUGCUCAGCCCUAUUUCCACUUUCCAGCCCAGCAUUCAACCUUGUCUUUGACAUUAAGAAACAUUAUGGCCACACCCUCACCCUGAGGGAACCCUGCUCCAAGGCAGCCCCAAGAGGCCCACAUGACCAGGCCUGUCAACACUACAGGACAGCUCCGUGGAGGUGGACCUCCCUGGUGCUACCUCAGGUGGGACUGGGACCCUAGCCAAGAGAUCUUGUCAGAGCCCUAGGAUGGCCCCUGAGCCUGGGGCAGCCGGUCAAGCUACACUUUGAUUUCUGAUCCACAGCAACUGAUGAUGAAUGGUUGUUACUCUAAGUUUUAGGGUAUGAGACUCCAAAGUAUGCCAUGUAUCAUUGGUGUAUUUCAAGAUGGCUAGACAAACUGCAGAUCUCUGCAGCUUCAGGGAGGGCUUUGAAAGGGUGUGGCAGAGAUUGACACUCACCUGAACUGGUCAACAGUGGAUGCAGGUAGCAUUCCUGUCUGACGUCUACCCCCCUUCUGCCUGCCUGUGAAAGAUCUGGCCCAGACAGAUGAACACAGGGGUCUGUUGCUGGGAGACUGUUGGGGAAACAGGACAACCCUUGUCCCUCUGCGCCUGUCUUCUGCAUCCUGUGCCACUGCCCUUCCUACAUCCCGAGCCUAUCUCUUGGUUUGGCUGUUAUCCUGCCCCAUCUCAUCCCACUUGUGUAUGGCUCUUGUGCUUAGGGAUGAAAUAAAUGUGCAUAAUCUUUUCUCUAUUAAUAUGUUUUUUGUCAGUUUAUUUCAUAGACCAAAAUUAUCCAAGCUUCAGGGUGGUGAAAGAAUAUGCUUAAAAUUCCCCUGCAGGGGUAAUUGGUUACACGUCAAUAGAAACUAAUCAGGCAGGAUGAUGAUAUUUUGCCACUGGUGAGCAGUGAAGAUUCCCAUUAUGAGCACAGAGCUGCAGGCUGUAUAGGUGGUCAUGGGUAGGAGAGUCUCAAGCAAGGAGACUGCUGCCAGUCCUCAUUCCUGACCUAAGGCUUAGCCAUCACUCGGGAUGGAAAAAGAAGCAACAUAGGCACCUUUCGGACCCCAAGGACUGUCUGCUCUAGAGUGAAAAAGAGAGAAACAAGAAAGCAAAUAACUCAAGAUAAUUCAGGUAGUGAUAAUGCCGGGAAGAAAAUACCCCAGUAGAAGUGAGAAAGGGCCUGGGAAGUGAGGGCUUGCUCAGGUUGGAUAGUCAAGAAAGUCCUUGCAGAGGAAGUGAGCAGUAAAUAGACUUGAUGAGAAGACUCUGGACCUGGGGUCAACAGUGGAGUAAUGUAAGGUUGAAGACCAGGCUUCAGGGCAAACAUGGUGUACACCAGGGGCAGGCAGGAGGUCCAUGUGGCAGCACAGGUCAGAGAACAAACACAGAAGACCCAGCUAAGCCCAGUCAGCCGGUCUGCUCAUGGUUAGUUUAUUACCAGCAGAUACAGACUAAAGUUAGCAAAGGGAAGAGAUGUGUAGGCAACACCAAGGCUCCAGGCCCCAUGGAGUCCUGCCGAGCAACCUCACUGUUCCCUCCCACUUCUCUGUGGAUGUGGAGGUGCUAGUGGCAGGUGAAUAUGCAAUAGAGCUGAGAGAGCUGGUCUGGGACAAAGAUGCACACGUGGGACAUCAGUGAGCUGAAAGCAUAGCUUGCCAAAGCCAUGGGUGCAUCCUUCAGUGGUGUGAGGUGAGAGGGAGAGAACCUUGGAGAAAGUGGGAGCUCUGGGGUGGAGGACAGCCAUAGUCUCUGGAAAGGGGCACAGAACAGGCAGGAGGGCCCAAGUGUGCUGGAAGGUCCCACGGAGGCAAACACACUGGCUGGGACAGGAACGACAACACAGGCCUCCCCUCCCCACCACGGGCACAGGACUUUCUCCAAACCAGGUUUACCUUUCACAGAAGCUUUGAAUUUUACUUCCCAGAACUCAAGCAAGUAGGCCUCAUUAUCAUUGCUAACUGGCCCCCAAACUUCCUCCUGUCUGGAAGCUGUACGGCAUGUGUCACAGAAGUAUGGGCCGGGCUGAGGGCCAGUCAGUGUCCCCAGUCCUACCACCACCCUUCACCCAAGAAAGGACCCAGAAGGGAAAGAAGUUGCUCUACAUGCUGCCAGGGCCUCAGGAGCUGCCUGCUCCUAGAGAUGACCCUGAGUGCUCCUUUUAAGGGCCUGAACUCAGCCAUCUGCUCCCCAAGGACUCCAGCUUGACAGCACUUUUCCAGGUGUAACAGCUGGCCUCAAUGCACCAUCUCUCCCUUACAGUGACAUUUGGCACUUCCUCAAGUGUCAAAGACAGAGAUUAGACUCAAGUCAAGGUAUAGUCUUCUCCCAGCCAGAGGCCAAUACUCCUAGAAACACCAAUCUCUUGUCAUUUCUUAGUUAUGAGUUGCCUGCCUAGCCCCUGCCGCUCGUCACUCCCUUGACCCCUCUAAGCACCUUCAAACACAGCACCCUCCAUGUAAGCUGUGAUGGCUGCCUCGCAGACUCUCCCCUCAUUAGACUAAGGAAAGGAAGGGCUUCUUGUGAGGGUCCUCUAAGAUCCCCCCAGAGGCACUGUGGGCCUGGGAACCGAGGGUCCUGGGUGUCUUGGGGCAUUUCUCUCAGAGAAGAGUCCUGGCCUCUCCCCAUGGUGCCCAGGAGGGUGGGGAUCUUGUCUGUCCUGGCUCCAUAGGGCAGGGACACUCAGGUGACAUCCAGGAACACUUGCUUGCCUCCCUCACUGAUGACUACUUCUAGAUGUGGCCUUGGAGGACCUGGGUCAGAGACUUGUCAUGAAAGGACAUACAGUCCUUGGUAGCACAGGAGAGAAUGCCUUCAGAAUACACCUUUUACUUAGAUCAUAAAACAAAUGUUUUCUUUUUAACAUGCAAAUUUGGCACAGAGAAAAUCCUGCCUGGCAGGCCUCACAGAAGUUAGAUUUGAAGGAGACUUUCUGCCUGCUAUGCCUUCUCGCCCCAAGACAACAGCAGGAAGACAGGACAGAAAGGGCAAUCGUGGGGUGCGAACAACAGGGCCAGGCCCAAGUGUGCACCUAGCCCCUUAGGGCCAAGUCAAAGCCUUCUUCCCUGUUCUUGGCAGUGUUCUUGGGAACACCGCAUGCCUUUCCUUUCUUUCUUUUUUUUGGUACCGGGGGAUCAGACUCAGGACCUUGCACUUGCUUUUUCUUUUUCUUUUUUUUUUUUGGUAGCAGGUAUUGGACCUUGUGCUUUCGAGGCAGGCAGCGGAACCACUGAGCUAAAUCCCCCACAUUCUUUCUAAGUUCUUUUUAAUUCAGCUUUUUCUUAUAAACUACUUUCUGCAUGCACUAUGUCUACAUGCAAGAGUUCUGGACCCCUUUUUCCUAGCACACAAUUCCUCAUAUAUUAAAAAUUCCCCACUAGCUGGGUGAAUGUCUGUUGGCCAGGACCUCAGGAAGCUCAGGCAGGAGGAUCACUUGAGCCCACGAGUUCAAGGCUAGUCUGGGCCACACAGUAACAUCCUGUCUCCAAACAAGCAAACAAACUCCCCGUUAAAUCUUUCACGUGUUUCUGUCUCCUGACCCAUACAGUGAGAAAUGGAUCUGGGCUGUUAACUUGGUCUACAGCUGGUUCGCUGCUCACCAGGACCUAGGGAAAGCGGACGACACUAGAGCAGCUACUGGCACGGGGCGCCUCCUGCAGUCAGGUUCCUCUCUGCGGCUAGCUCGCUGAGAGGCCCUCAGAGCCCCACGUGUGGGUCUGGCUGCGCGGUUCCCGGGGCCUCCUCGCCUGGUCUUUCGCCUGGCCUGGCGGUGGCUUUGUCCGCUCCUCAAACUUGCGCCUCCUCUAGACCUUCACAAGCCUGCGAACCUGCGGCUCUGUUCUUGGCCUCUUCUCGUUUCCAGCGUCACCAAUGCACAGUAAGCCGGCAGCCCACUUGAGAUGAUUGUCAGCAGCUCCUCCAGAUCCUGUUUACAACAGAGGAGUGUGAAAGAAUCCAGAACGAGGGAAAAGGAAAAAGGAUAAAUAUAUUCACUGAUAGCCGUUAUGCUUUUGCCACUGCCCACGUACACAGGGAGAUUUAUCAAAAUAGAGGACUGUUGACCUCCGGAGGAAAGGAAAUCAAAAAUAAGACUGAGAUAUUAGCAUUGCUACAAGCCAUCUGGUUGCCUCGAGAGGUCGCCAUCAUCCAUUUCCGGGGGCACCAGAAGGGGCUUAGCCCCGAGAUGAUUGGUAAUAAUGCUGCUGACCAGGCAGCAAAACAAGCCACCCCAAAAUCAGUGGGGAAGCAAAUGUUUCUGCUUCCCAUGCCAGUACUCCCAGAAAAACUUGAAUACACAGAUAAAGAAGUAGCGGAAAUGAACAGGAGAUGCUGGACUCGAGGAAAACAUGGAUGGUGGAUGACUAAGAAUGGAAAGGUGGUGUUCCCAGCUGCUGUAGCAGAUACGUUGCUGCUAGAACUGCAUGAGUCCACCCACCUCGGCGAGAAAAGGAUGAUGGCUGCCCUGCGACCUCAUUUCAUCAGCGAGGGUUUAGCCCAAAAGGCCCAGAACAUGGUGAGACGAUGCCCCACCUGCCUCAAGGUUUGAUUCCAAGACCCUGGAACCUCAUUGGAAGGGACCAGUUCCUGUUGUCCUGUCAACUCCCUUGGCAGUGAAAGUGGCUGGACAUUCUGCCUGGAUACAUCACAACCAUCUGAAAGCAGGACCCCCCCCGUGGAUGUCAAAAAGGACAAAUGGAAGGCUAUCAGCCAACCAGGUGACCAAAAGCUAAGAUUGGAGCGGGUUGGAGAUGUUUUGCCUUCAUGAUAAUAUUCUCUGGGACACUGGCAGUAUUGUCCCAAAGAGGACUAGAUCACACAAAAAAUGUAUGGAUUCAAUUGGCAAACUUGCUUAACUUGUCUAAUUCUGCUUAAAUGUUGAUGUAAAUUUCCAUUAUGUGCUGGGAAGCUGUCUUAUUCUGGUAUGCACCUCUUUAGAAUUAAUACGACCCUAUACCCUGUUUAAAGACCUCCCAGGAUAAAGAAAUCUCACUUACAGAGAUAGUAAUAAUUGGGGACCUCUCUCAUGUCAUAAACCUAAAAAUGCUGUCAAAUUAUAUACACCCAAGGUAAUUAUGUCAAAUAAUACCGAAUGUGCUAUAUAUGAAAAUUGUACAACCAAGUGUCUAAAAAUAAAACGGUCAGAAGGGAUGCCCUGCCAUGUUAAACAGAAAAUUGUAUAUGGCAUUUGCCAUGUCUCCCUACCAACAGGAUGGUUUUAUACCUGUGAGGGUAUAACUUUCAAUUAUAUUCCAGCCAAUUUAACCAAGACCCAUUGCUGCUUGAGUCGUUUGGCUGUAGUUUUACCAGAUAGAACUGAUUUGAUUAUGCCAGACAGAACUAAACGUUGGUCACCUUACACUGCACCAGGAUGUGAUGAUGAUGUAGGUCUGUUGACGGAUGCUGAAGUAAUAACUAUGAUAGCAUCUUUUGUUGCAUUGCCUUCCAUAGGAGUCCAUGCUGAAAAGGCAGUAUGGAAACUAGCAUGCAAGGUGGUCAAAGGAUUAAAUGCUACCUCAACAGCCUUAACAUUAAUUAACCAAGAGUUACAGGAACAGAGACAGGCAAUCUUAGACAACAGAGCAGCAAUAGACUAUUUGUUGCUCUUCCACCACCAAGGUUGUGAAAGAAUAAAAAAUAUGUGUUGUUUCAAUCUUACCGAUAAUGGUCCAAAAAUUAAAGAAAAGGUAAAACAAUUAGAAGAUCUGGCUCAGAGUACAUGAUGAAGAUGGCAGGGACUUGUUCAAGUGGCUAACUAAAUGGUUGCCCAACCUACAGUGGUUAAGACAACUUUUCCUUGUCAUUAUAGUUGUGUAUAUAUGCUUAUUACUGUCAUGCUGUUGUAUACAAUGGAUGCCUACAUUUAUAUGUAAGAUUACUUAGAUUGUAAAAUCAGUGGGGAAUGUGGGACUGCAUAACUUAGUAAUCAAUUGUUCCCCUAGCCUCAAUUGUGAUUGUGAGUUAAUGGUUAAAAUGUGCUUGUUAGUUCUGGGAAGCUAGAUAAAAUCUGUAACAAACAUAGAGUUCCUAAGUGAAUUACCCGACUCCUUGUUUGUCCAAAACCGAUGUUCUGGACACAGCUAUCCAUAAGACAAUCUGCAAACAUCUUUUGACCAUCAAUAUUUUUUUCUCUUGCUAAUUUCCCCUGCAACCCCCUAUAAAAACAGCCUUGGGCUCUGAGCCAGUUGCCUCUCCAAGCUACUUUGCUUUGGGAGUGACCUCUGGCCAGACUAAUAAAGGUCUGUUUUACUUUCCAAA
Heterocephalus glaber (naked mole-rat) is the source of this 6446-nucleotide non-coding RNA. The record is from RefSeq and is a predicted model, not a curated record. Lineage: Eukaryota; Metazoa; Chordata; Mammalia; Rodentia; Bathyergidae.